This 299-nucleotide unclassified non-coding RNA is filed under the name Hevea brasiliensis (rubber tree). Lineage: Eukaryota; Viridiplantae; Streptophyta; Magnoliopsida; Malpighiales; Euphorbiaceae. The record is from RNAcentral.
AGAAUGUGUUGGAUGAUGUAGGUGGAGGAGUUCAUUGUGUUGGGAUUGGAAGAUCACAAUCACUUGGAAUUGCAAGUAAUAUUAUUGGUAAUUUUCAUCAACAAAAUUUGUGGGUUGAAUUUGAUUUGAGUAAUAAAAGAGUUGGUUUUGGUAAAGUAGAGUGUAAGUAGGGUACUAUAACUAGUGUUAGUGAGUAGUUGUUGUCACAUAUUAUUGGUGCUUUGUUUGGAGUACAUAUAUUAAUUGAAAAACUUUUUGAAAUAAAAAAAAAUUGUAUAUGUUAAUCUAGAGGAGUUGUU